Molecule: ribosomal RNA, 254 nt
Filed under: uncultured bacterium
Lineage: Bacteria
Description: partial 16S ribosomal RNA
Rfam family: Bacterial small subunit ribosomal RNA
Source: RNAcentral
UACGGGGGGAGCAAGCGUUGUUCGGAUUUACUGGGCGUAAAGGGCGCGUAGGCGGCCACCGCAAGUCGGUUGUGAAAUCUCUGGGCUUAACCCAGAAAGGUCAACCGAUACUGCGGGGCUAGAGUGCAGAAGGGGCAACUGGAAUUCUCGGUGUAGCGGUGAAAUGCGUAGAUAUCGGGAGGAACACCAGUGGCGAAGGCGACUACCUGGCCUGUUCUUGACGCUGAGGCGCGAAAGCUGGGGGAGCAAACGGG